Molecule: ribosomal RNA, 301 nt
Filed under: uncultured bacterium
Lineage: Bacteria
Description: partial 16S ribosomal RNA
Rfam family: Bacterial small subunit ribosomal RNA
Source: RNAcentral
CAGUAGCCACGGUAAUACGAAGGGGGCUAGCGUUGUUCGGAAUUACUGGGCGUAAAGCGCACGUAGGCGGUUAUUCAAGUCUGAGGUGAAAGCCCGGGGCUCAACCCCGGAACUGCCUUUGAAACUAGAUGACUAGAAUCUUGGAGAGGUCAGUGGAAUUCCGAGUGUAGAGGUGAAAUUCGUAGAUAUUCGGAAGAACACCAGUGGCGAAGGCGACUGACUGGACAAGUAUUGACGCUGAGGUGCGAAAGCGUGGGGAGCAAACAGGAUUAGAUACCCCCGUAGUCCCUGUCUCUUAUAC